Molecule: long non-coding RNA, 589 nt
Organism: Bombyx mori (domestic silkworm)
Lineage: Eukaryota; Metazoa; Arthropoda; Insecta; Lepidoptera; Bombycidae
Exons: 2
Source: RefSeq, a predicted model, not a curated record
CAAAGUAAUUAUAAACAGAAAACUGAAACAGAGUUUGAUGAUUCAUCUAUUUCCAUGUUCAGUCUAGUUCCUAUAAGGCUUCAGAAAUUUGACGGAACAGUUGUUUGGGAAAACGAUCUACCCUAAUCAACUUUUUAUUGCCGUCCAAUAAUGUUUAAAUUUACAAAAGAAACGCAGUCAACAGUGGCAAUUAUAAAAGCUAGCAUAACAGAAGAAAUAGAAAGACUUCAGCCAUCAAAAAUCAAACAAGUUGAAGUGAAUCAUCAAUUGCACAUGACGAUGAUAGACGGCAAAAUAACCUCAUAUUUGUCAGAAACAUUUUCUGCUGCCUGUGAUAUUUGCAAAGCAAAACUGUCAGAGUUUUUUGGAGUCACUUGCUUGUCAAAAAGAAAAUAAUGAAGAAAUAUUCCAGUAUGGAAUGCCAUCUUUACAUGCCUGGAUAAGAUGCAUGGAGUGCUUAAUUCAUAUCGUAUCCAUAAAUUGUUGGCUCAUGGCGGUGAUAUACAAUAAUGAAGAACUUUGGUGCCAUUCGAAUAGGUAAGCUCUCGGAAGAGGCAGCGGAAGCUCUCAAUAAAGAUUUUCGGAAAUA